RNAcentral lists this ribosomal RNA (779 nucleotides) under Bursaphelenchus kevini. RNAcentral's name for it is "eukaryotic LSU rRNA". It matches the Rfam family "Eukaryotic large subunit ribosomal RNA", at positions 381 to 944 of the family's 3401-position model. Lineage: Eukaryota; Metazoa; Nematoda; Chromadorea; Rhabditida; Aphelenchoididae. The record is from RNAcentral.
AAGAGAGUGCAAGAGAACGUGAAACCGGAGUAAUGGAAGCGAAUGGAGCUGACGUAUCUAGUGCGUAUUCAGCGGAGUCGUUUCGAUGGCCAGUGUUGGGGUUUUUAAGGUCUUCUGCAAAGAGGCUGCCCGCACUUUGGCUGUUGUCGGUCUUCGUGCAUUUGCGUACGGAGUGCGCCGAGUGGCGUGGUUGCGGCGGACGAACCCGCGCUUAGAGGUCGUGUUCUUCGCGGGACGCGAAACCUGAGUGUUUUCGGCUAGUUCGACUUGCGGCUACGUUGCGCUCUUUGUUGAGGACGGUGGUUGAGGUUCGCGCGUUGGGCGUUGUGCUUGGUUCCGCUGGCUUUCGUGCACAUGUGUACGGGGCUUGUUUUCGGGAUGAGGCGCGCGUUCAACGUGCUCUUUUCCGUUCGUCUCGGCGUUCAGUCGGUGACCCAUUCGACCCGUCUUGAAACACGGACCAAGGAGUUUAUGGUAUACGCGAGUUAUUGGGUCUUUUCGAAGCCCAUAAGCGAAAUGAAAGUGAGACGCCUUACGGUGUUUGAGUACGAGCGGUGUGUUGGGUCCCGGAAACGGGCCGUACACCGUGCAGUACUGCCCCGUUUCGAGGAUUCGUUCCUGUUGCGGAGGUUGAGCGUAUGCUAUGAGACCCGAAAGAUGGUGAACUAUGCCUGAACAGGAUGAAGCCAGAGGAAACUCUGGUGGAGGUCCGAAGCGGUUCUGACGUGCAAAUCGAUCGUCUGAUUUUGGUAUAGGGGCGCAAGACUAAUCGAACCAUC